This 71-nucleotide transfer RNA is filed under the name Camelus bactrianus (Bactrian camel). It matches the Rfam family "tRNA". From Rfam's summary of the family: Transfer RNA (tRNA) molecules are approximately 80 nucleotides in length. Their secondary structure includes four short double-helical elements and three loops (D, anti-codon, and T loops). Further hydrogen bonds mediate the characteristic L-shaped molecular structure. tRNAs have two regions of fundamental functional importance: the anti-codon, which is responsible for specific mRNA codon recognition, and the 3' end, to which the tRNAs corresponding amino acid is attached (by aminoacyl-tRNA synthetases). tRNAs cope with the degeneracy of the genetic code in two manners: having more than one tRNA (with a specific anti-codon) for a particular amino acid; and 'wobble' base-pairing, i.e. permitting non-standard base-pairing at the 3rd anti-codon position. RNAcentral also lists the same sequence under 2 other names. Lineage: Eukaryota; Metazoa; Chordata; Mammalia; Artiodactyla; Camelidae. The record is from Rfam by way of RNAcentral.
AGGGUAUAGCUCAGUGGUAGAGUGCAUGCCUAGCAUGCAUGAGGUCCUGGGUUCAAUUCCCAGUACCUCUA